This 255-nucleotide ribosomal RNA is filed under the name uncultured bacterium. RNAcentral describes it as "partial 16S ribosomal RNA". It matches the Rfam family "Bacterial small subunit ribosomal RNA", at positions 524 to 776 of the family's 1533-position model. The record is from RNAcentral.
UACGUAGGGUGCAAGCGUUAAUCGGAAUUACUGGGCGUAAAGCGUGCGCAGGCGGUUUUUGUAAGUCCGUCGUGAAAUCCCCGGGCUCAACCUGGGAAUUGCGAUGGAGACUGCAAGGCUAGAAUCUGGCAGAGGGGGGGUAGAAUUCCACGUGUAGCAGUGAAAUGCGUAGAGAUCCGGAGGAACACCAGCGGCGAAGGCGGCAUCCUGGACUGGUCCUGACACUCAUGAGCGAAAGCGUGGGGAGCGAACAGG